This 484-nucleotide ribosomal RNA is filed under the name uncultured bacterium. Its description in RNAcentral is "partial 16S ribosomal RNA". It matches the Rfam family "Bacterial small subunit ribosomal RNA", at positions 30 to 507 of the family's 1533-position model. The record is from RNAcentral.
AUUGAACGCUGGCGGCAGGCCUAACACAUGCAAGUCGAGCGGUAGAGCGAAGCUUGCUUCUCUUGAGAGCGGCGGACGGGUGAGUAAUGCCUAGGAAUCUGCCUGGUAGUGGGGGAUAACGUUCGGAAACGGACGCUAAUACCGCAUACGUCCUACGGGAGAAAGCAGGGGACCUUCGGGCCUUGCGCUCUCAGAUGAGCCUAGGUCGGAUUAGCUAGUUGGUGGGGUAAUGGCUCACCAAGGCGACGAUCCGUAACUGGUCUGAGAGGAUGAUCAGUCACACUGGAACUGAGACACGGUCCAGACUCCUACGGGAGGCAGCAGUGGGGAAUAUUGGACAAUGGGCGAAAGCCUGAUCCAGCCAUGCCGCGUGUGUGAAGAAGGUCUUCGGAUUGUAAAGCACUUUAAGUUGUGAGGAAGGGCAGUAAAUUAAUACGUUGCUGUUUUGACGUUACCGACAGAAUAAGCACCGGCUAACUCUGUG